RNAcentral lists this ribosomal RNA (492 nucleotides) under uncultured bacterium. Its description in RNAcentral is "partial 16S ribosomal RNA". It matches the Rfam family "Bacterial small subunit ribosomal RNA", at positions 29 to 507 of the family's 1533-position model. The record is from RNAcentral.
AGUGAACACUGGUGGUAGGCCUAACACAUGCAAGUCGAACGGCAGCACAGUAAGAGCUUGCUCUUACGGGUGGCGAGUGGCGGACGGGUGAGGAAUACAUCGGAAUCUACUUUUUCGUGGGGGAUAACGUAGGGAAACUUACGCUAAUACCGCAUACGACCUACGGGUGAAAGCAGGGGAUCUUCGGACCUUGCGCGAUUGAAUGAGCCGAUGUCGGAUUAGCUAGUUGGCGGGGUAAAGGCCCACCAAGGCGACGAUCCGUAGCUGGUCUGAGAGGAUGAUCAGCCACACUGGAACUGAGACACGGUCCAGACUCCUACGGGAGGCAGCAGUGGGGAAUAUUGGACAAUGGGCGCAAGCCUGAUCCAGCCAUACCGCGUGGGUGAAGAAGGCCUUCGGGUUGUAAAGCCCUUUUGUUGGGAAAGAAAAGCAGCAGGUUAAUACCCCGCUGUUCUGACGGUACCCAAAGAAUAAGCACCAGCUAACUUCGUG